Molecule: ribosomal RNA, 1203 nt
Filed under: Staphylococcus aureus
Lineage: Bacteria; Bacillati; Bacillota; Bacilli; Caryophanales; Staphylococcaceae
Description: partial 23S ribosomal RNA
Rfam family: Bacterial large subunit ribosomal RNA
Source: RNAcentral
GUCUCUCUUGAGUGGAUCCUGAGUACGACGGAGCACGUGAAAUUCCGUCGGAAUCUGGGAGGACCAUCUCCUAAGGCUAAAUACUCUCUAGUGACCGAUAGUGAACCAGUACCGUGAGGGAAAGGUGAAAAGCACCCCGGAAGGGGAGUGAAAUAGAACCUGAAACCGUGUGCUUACAAGUAGUCAGAGCCCGUUAAUGGGUGAUGGCGUGCCUUUUGUAGAAUGAACCGGCGAGUUACGAUUUGAUGCAAGGUUAAGCAGUAAAUGUGGAGCCGUAGCGAAAGCGAGUCUGAAUAGGGCGUUUAGUAUUUGGUCGUAGACCCGAAACCAGGUGAUCUACCCUUGGUCAGGUUGAAGUUCAGGUAACACUGAAUGGAGGACCGAACCGACUUACGUUGAAAAGUGAGCGGAUGAACUGAGGGUAGCGGAGAAAUUCCAAUCGAACCUGGAGAUAGCUGGUUCUCUCCGAAAUAGCUUUAGGGCUAGCCUCAAGUGAUGAUUAUUGGAGGUAGAGCACUGUUUGGACGAGGGGCCCCUCUCGGGUUACCGAAUUCAGACAAACUCCGAAUGCCAAUUAAUUUAACUUGGGAGUCAGAACAUGGGUGAUAAGGUCCGUGUUCGAAAGGGAAACAGCCCAGACCACCAGCUAAGGUCCCAAAAUAUAUGUUAAGUGGAAAAGGAUGUGGCGUUGCCCAGACAACUAGGAUGUUGGCUUAGAAGCAGCCAUCAUUUAAAGAGUGCGUAAUAGCUCACUAGUCGAGUGACACUGCGCCGAAAAUGUACCGGGGCUAAACAUAUUACCGAAGCUGUGGAUUGUCCUUUGGACAAUGGUAGGAGAGCGUUCUAAGGGCGUUGAAGCAUGAUCGUAAGGACAUGUGGAGCGCUUAGAAGUGAGAAUGCCGGUGUGAGUAGCGAAAGACGGGUGAGAAUCCCGUCCACCGAUUGACUAAGGUUUCCAGAGGAAGGCUCGUCCGCUCUGGGUUAGUCGGGUCCUAAGCUGAGGCCGACAGGCGUAGGCGAUGGAUAACAGGUUGAUAUUCCUGUACCACCUAUAAUCGUUUUAAUCGAUGGGGGGACGCAGUAGGAUAGGCGAAGCGUGCGAUUGGAUUGCACGUCUAAGCAGUAAGGCUGAGUAUUAGGCAAAUCCGGUACUCGUUAAGGCUGAGCAGUGAUGGGGAGAAGACAUUGUGUCUUCGAGUCGUU